GGGGAUUUAGCUCAGUGGUAGAGCGCUUACCUGGGAAGUGCAAGGCCCUGGGUUCGGUCCCCAGCUCCG
Non-coding RNA from Rattus norvegicus (Norway rat), 69 nucleotides. NCBI's taxonomy places the organism in Eukaryota, Metazoa, Chordata, Mammalia, Rodentia, Muridae. The record is from Rfam.